AUGUCUAAACACAUGCAGCCUGCCAAACAAAGUCUCAUCUCAGCAUGUCUCAGCGUAUACAUCGCCGCCAAACAACAGCAACUGAAUGGACUCAACAUGUUUACACUCAGCAUGUAUGAGAGGAGAACAACUAGGCUAGGUCCAUACAUGCUACCAAACACACCCGUAAGUUUCGAGCGUAGCUCGCGUGCAUGCUCGCUGCCUCGCUCGUUCCCUUCUUUUUCUAUCUUCUAUCCAGCGCUGCCGCCUAGACCUAGCGCCGCCGCCGCCGUCGUUCGUCCUUCACCAAGUCCGUCGCCGUCCUCGUUCGUCCCCUCGUCCUCGACUAAGCUCCGCUGCCUCCAUCCUCGACCAAGCGUCGCCGCCGCCCUCGACAAGCCCCCGCAGGCCGGAUCCUGA
This 399-nucleotide ribosomal RNA is filed under the name Triticum aestivum (bread wheat). Its description in RNAcentral is "partial small subunit ribosomal RNA". The record is from RNAcentral. Lineage: Eukaryota; Viridiplantae; Streptophyta; Magnoliopsida; Poales; Poaceae.